Molecule: long non-coding RNA, 424 nt
Filed under: Nicotiana tabacum (common tobacco)
Lineage: Eukaryota; Viridiplantae; Streptophyta; Magnoliopsida; Solanales; Solanaceae
Description: long non-coding RNA (NTAB_LNC010348)
Source: RNAcentral
UAUCUGAAGCAUAAAAUAUUCCUCUCAUUAUACAGGUGGGCGCCUAUUUAACUAAUACAUGAAAAUAUUCCUCUCAUUAUACAGGUGGGCGCCUAUUUAACUAAGACAUGAAAAUAUUCCUCUCAUUAUACAGGUGGGCGCCUAUUUAGCUAAGACAUGAAAAUAUUCCUCUCAUUAUACAGGUGGGCGCCUAUUUAGCUAGACAUGAAAAUAUUCCUCUCAUUAUACAGGUGGGCGCCUAUUUAGCUAAGAUAUGAAAAUAUUCCUCUCAUUAUACAAGUGGGCGCCUAUUUAACCAAGACAAGAAAAUAUUCCUCUCAUUAUACAGGUGGGCGCCUAUUUAACUAAGACAUGAAAAUAUUCCUCUCAUUAUACAGGUGAGCGCCUAUUUAACUAAGACAUGAAAAUAUUCCUCUCAUUAUAC